Pipra filicauda (Wire-tailed manakin) is the source of this 3879-nucleotide long non-coding RNA. RefSeq lists it as uncharacterized. NCBI's taxonomy places the organism in Eukaryota, Metazoa, Chordata, Aves, Passeriformes, Pipridae. The transcript is spliced from 2 exons. The record is from RefSeq and is a predicted model, not a curated record.
GCCACAGCUCCAUCCUCAGCCUCGCCGCUCCCUGCCGCCGGAGCCAACGCCCGUGGUGCAGGGGAGGCUGCGUGAGGAGCGGCUCCAGAUGAGGGACACGUUCACCCCUCAGUGAUGCGGAGCUCCGUAGUUCUGAGGGCCAAAGCCCCCUCUAGGCUACUUAUGAGCUGGUGCUGGAUGCUGGUCAUGUAAUAACGUGUUGCAACUAAAGUCAUUCAAGAACAAUACUUUAGGGCCUUAAAAAUGGUGACAGGGCCUUCACCACGCUGGGUUUGGUUGCCUUGGGCCCACAGGCCACCUGUGUGUGGCAAACACCGGGACCACCCUUGGGCUGUGCCAGCAGCAGGGAAGGGCUUUCCCUGGUCCCUCAGAGGCACAGGAGUGCCCAGCGUCCUCCUCACUAGUGGGGAGUGUGACAGGGACAGUGAAAUCCACUUGAAGGUGGAUGGACCCCACCAUGUCAGGGAGGCACUGGAGGGAAACAAAUUAUAAGAUAACAAACUGUCCACAGUGUGAUGUUUAUAAACCUGCUUUUCUUGUGUUAUCCCAAAAGAGCCAUGCAUUACGUUGCUGGUAACAUCAACUGUUCCGAGCUGUGCUCAUGGUUGCUUUAUAUAACUGGGUGGAAAAAUCCUUCCUCUCAUUUCAGACAUUUUGGUUCCUCUGUUUACUGGGAGUUGGAGCUUCCUACGUAGAGAAAGCUCUCAAGGAGCAAGUCACAUUUUCCAGGGCGCUGUGCAUGUGGAGAGAUGAGUAACUGCUGUAGCCUGAGUCACAGGGAAGGAGAGAGCUCUGAGGAAGGGGAGAGAGGGAACUGCUGGAGUGACGGUGGCAGAACAAACAGCGGCAUCCUCUCCUCCUCGAUUACUCCAGUUGUGAUCCUGCACCGCUCAGUCAAACAGCAGUAUUCCUUAUCAUUUAAUUAACCUUGUGGGAUUGCCCAGGGUUUAUGGUUGCUAAAUUUGUCAGCAACUCAGCUGGGCUGAGGUUUGGUGUGUCUCAAGGCAGCUGAGUUAUGCUUGUGAUCAAGCUACCAGAUAGGCUCAGCAGAUAAACAUCCGGUAUCAGGCUUAACUAAGUAUUUCAGGAAUGUGUUUGAGUUUGAUUACACAAAAUUGCAGUCCAAUUGACUCCGUGUGUACCUUAGCUCCUUCACCAUCUGAUCCAGGCAGGAAAAAACAGAUCCAGGCAGGAAAACAUGCCACAGACCGGAGCUGAGCCUCUGGGUAAGGCUUUUAUUUUAAAUCCUUGAGGCUGUUGGAGAUUUCUCUGACCUGAGAGAAGCUCAGCUGUUAGAAGACAGCUUUGUUAUGGACCCUGCCACAAAGCAGAGCAAACCAAACUCUCAGCUGCCCACUUCUUGCUGAGGAGAAAUGAAACAUAGGAUGGUCUUUUAUACCAGGGUUGCUCAGAUGCAUCAGUGAGGAAUGAGAGCCAAGAACUGGAGGGGACUUAACACUGGAGAGGUGGCAGCACGAUUUCCCAGGUGGCUGUGGCAGCAGCAGCCAAAAUCCUGAGUUUUGUUUAUUGCAGUAAGAAGGGAAGUGAUGGAAAAGGUGCCGUGUCUCCAGGAAGGGGAAGAAGAAUCGGUGCGAGUCAUUGGCAUUUCACUCUGAGUGACCUUGGGGGGUUCCAGCUGUACCUUGUGGUGUGGGAGCAGGGGUGUCUGGGAGGGAGCAAGAGCAUUUUGGGAAUACAAAGGCCUUGUGAAGGGAGCUGCCCUCUCUCAGAGCGUGCAGGGAGUUGCUCUGGCCGGCCCGCUCCAUAGGGCUGGCGCUGGGAACAGCAGCGUUACCAUAGGUGGAGCGCUCCGGCCCCGAGCCAGCAGAGAGGCUGUGCCACUCACAGCAAACAGCUCAUGCUCAGGAAAUGCCAUCUGAGCGGGAGCCUGAACCAUCCCAAAAGGAAGGGUGCUGGGAAGGGCCGAGCUUCAUUCCCAGUCUUGUAGGGAAGGAUUUGGCAGCACCAGCCCAGCAGAUGUUUCUGCCUGAUGUUAGUGCAGGGAAGCGGGAUGGGGGUGUCCAUGAACACCCUAAUGCUCUAGAGACAGGAGGAUCCUUCUCUGAGUAAUGUGGAUACUGUCAAAGGGGCCAAAUGUGUGUGCAGGGAACUGCAGGCACGGGAUAAAAUGCAGCUUUGCCUUGUGCUUUGGGCAGGCAAUUACCUCUGUACAGAGGCCAAAAAAAGACCGAUGAUAAUUCCACCUUUUUAAACACAGCAAUUGGAAAGGUACCAGGCAGAGAGAACGCCACGUGCUGCUGAGCCAGCCUGAAGACACCCCCGUGCAACACCGUGCUUUUCUCCUGCUCAGCAAACCCGCCGUGUGCUGAAGGACUCCCGCGGACUUUGCACCCCCGAGGGAACCUUUUUGCUGGAGGAAACAUCAGGGUGUUCAUCUCUGCCAGUGGUGUAGCAGAGAGAAAAAAGGAAAACAUCUCUUAGGCAGGGCUUGAUUGCCAGCUGAAAAUAAGCAAAGUGCCUGUCAGUGACAUGUGAGCACAAAAAAAGCUUCGCAGAUGGAAAUAAAGGCAACGCUUUUUUCCUCUUCUCCCGCUCUGCCUUCCCUGCAGUGCCAGCGAGGCUUUGGCUCGUGGGCUGCAGAGCCGUGCUGUUCCGGAGCCUGUUGGAUCUGGAGGCACAGUGCUCUUUGCACUCUUACGUGUUUUCUGAAAAUGGUGUCUAAAAGCGUAAUGGGCACUUUGCAGAGCUCUAAAUAGCCCAGCCUCUGUCCUGAGGAGCUGGCAACGCACGGAGGCAAGUGCCUGGGAUGGGAGAACGGCUGCAUCAUACAAACCAGUCAGGGAGGUGGCACGUGGCCCACCUGCUCAGUAUUUUUCCAUCGCAUUCUCAUUCAGCUGCUCCUUUCCAACUUCCAGCUCUGUCACGCUCCUCAAAAGCUUCUACUCUGGGUUUAUUUAGCAUGGUAUUUAUUUCCUAAUUAUAGAACUGAAGUGACUGACCUCAGUCAGCCCUGCUGGGUACUGCUGUCCACCUUUUUGUCCCCUGUAGACCACAGGCUCUGGUCUCUAAUGGCUGAAAGCCAUUGCUAGAGACUUUUUGACUCCUUUUUUGUUUUUCUACCAAACCCAAGAGGGCUCUGACUGCUAACACAGGGAGCUUCACUUAUCAUCUCAGAGCAGAUGGGCUAUUGCAUUCCCAAAUUCUUUAGGCCGAAAGAGAAAUGCCACUUAGCUGAGCACUUUACCAGGCUGUGCUCCGCUGCUCCGUCCACAAAUUCCAAAUAGCCAGCUCACAGCUUUUACCCCACAUCCAGCCACAGCUGCCGGAUGGAGGAAAAGGUUUUGAAAAUCACUCCCCAGCAACAGCAGUGCUGCUGGUCCUGCUUCUGGAUGCUCCAUGGCACUUGAAUCCUGCCUGGCUCCACAAGCAGUCUCGGUGCUCUAGGAGAAGAAUCCAUCUGUAUCUCCCUCAGAUGAAUCUGUGCCACAACACCCCUGAAUUUUCCAGGGGGUCUGGUUAGGUGAAAUUCCUACCUUCUUCACCAAAAGCUGCCAGGCUGAGCAAACCUGUCCCCGCAGCCACUUCUUAUGCCACCUCUUAUUUGCUCUCACCCACUUCUGGCCCUUUAUCACACAUUUUGGUGAAGCGAGACACAGCUGCAGGAGCCAAGUGGUGCUUUGGUGUGGCACCUGUUCCUAAAGCCACUGGCACAAGCAGAGGGGUUCCGUGCAGGGGAGGUAUCAUCAGAGCAGCAGGUGUCUGGCAGGCCUGGAGAGCAGGGAGAGGAGGCAUCUCUGGUGGAAAGCAGGAUGGACUUGAACAAAUUGAUGUAGUAGAACCAGAAGGAUGUAUGAGUUUCUCCUGGAGUGUUUCCAAGAUGUCAUGCUGAAUAAAGGAAGUCAUUGGUCUUCUGUUUAA